UACCAGGCGUCGAGCGGCGGACGGGUGAGUAAUACUUAGGAAUCUACCUAGUAGUGGGGGAUAGCUCGGGGAAACUCGAAUUAAUACCGCAUACGACCUACGGGAGAAAGGGGGCAGUUUACUGCUCUCGCUAUUAGAUGAGCCUAAGUCGGAUUAGCUAGAUGGUGGGGUAAAGGCCUACCAUGGCGACGAUCUGUAGCUGGUCUGAGAGGAUGAUCAGCCACACCGGGACUGAGACACGGCCCGGACUCCUACGGGAGGCAGCAGUGGGGAAUAUUGGACAAUGGGGGCAACCCUGAUCCAGCCAUGCCGCGUGUGUGAAGAAGGCCUUUUGGUUGUAAAGCACUUUAAGCAGUGAAGAAGACUCCGUGGUUAAUACCCACGGACGAUGACAUUAGCUGCAGAAUAAGCACCGGCUAACUCUGUGCCAGCAGCCGCGGUAAUACAGAGGGUGCAAGCGUUAAUCGGAAUUACUGGGCGUAAAGGGAGCGUAGGUGGCUCGAUAAGUCAGAUGUGAAAUCCCCGGGCUCAACCUGGGAACUGCAUCUGAUACUGUUGAGCUAGAGUAUGUGAGAGGAAGGUAGAAUUCCAGGUGUAGCGGUGAAAUGC
RNAcentral lists this ribosomal RNA (609 nucleotides) under Psychrobacter okhotskensis. RNAcentral's name for it is "bacterial SSU rRNA". It matches the Rfam family "Bacterial small subunit ribosomal RNA", at positions 82 to 689 of the family's 1533-position model. The record is from RNAcentral. Lineage: Bacteria; Pseudomonadati; Pseudomonadota; Gammaproteobacteria; Moraxellales; Moraxellaceae.